Molecule: ribosomal RNA, 498 nt
Filed under: uncultured bacterium
Lineage: Bacteria
Description: bacterial SSU rRNA
Rfam family: Bacterial small subunit ribosomal RNA
Source: RNAcentral
AACGAACGCUGGCGGCGCGCCUAAUACAUGCAAGUCGAGCGAGAAGACGUAGCAAUACGUUUGUAAAGCGGCGAACGGGUGAGGAAUACAUGGGUAACCUACCCUCGAGUGGGGAAUAACUAGCCGAAAGGUUAGCUAAUACCGCGUACGCUCCUUGGACUUCGGUUCAGGGAGGAAAGCGAUACCGUGGGUAUCGCGCUCUUGGAUGGGCUCAUGUCCUAUCAGCUUGUUGGUGAGGAACGGCUCACCAAGGCUUCGACGGGUAGCUGGUCUGAGAGGACGAUCAGCCACACUGGCACUGCGACACGGGCCAGACUCCUACGGGAGGCAGCAGUAAGGAAUAUUGCGCAAUGGGCGAAAGCCUGACGCAGCGACGCCGCGUGGGGGAUGAAGGUCUUCGGAUUGUAAACCCCUUUCGGGAGGGAAGAUGGAACGAGCAAUCGUUCGGACGGUACCUCCAGAAGCAGCCACGGCUAACUUCGUGCCAGCCGCCGCCGU